Molecule: RNA transcript, 3539 nt
Organism: Solanum dulcamara
Lineage: Eukaryota; Viridiplantae; Streptophyta; Magnoliopsida; Solanales; Solanaceae
Gene name: pentatricopeptide repeat-containing protein At3g60050-like
Exons: 3
Source: RefSeq, a predicted model, not a curated record
UUAAAGAUAGUGAAGUAGUGGAAUGUGAUUCAUAAAAUUGGGUGUUUUGAGUAGCUUCUCCUCUUCCUCUGUUGUGAAGGAAGACUACAAUGCUCUCUCAUUUCAUCUCUAAAUCCUUACAUCUCCGGCUGUUCUCCCUACUUUCCCACAAAACCCAUUUCUUAAACCCUAAAACCAUUUCCCCUAAACCCUCCUUUCCAUAUUUCUUUCCCAACAACUCCUGUUUCUUCUCCACAGGUAACAACAAUGGCAAACAUUCGGACCCACAAAGUGAUGAGGGAAUAGAAAGCCAAGUUCUUGAUGAUGGGUCUUGGGCUGAAGAAGAAGGGUAUAAACCUUGGAGUUUUAAUGUGGAGGAGGAAGAAGAACGAGUGUUUGAUGUUGGAGAAGAGGUUAAGGUAGGAACUGAAAUGAAGGGUUUUCAAGUGGAGAAAAAGCUUCUUGAAUUGGAAGACAAACCUCUUACUCAGGUUCUUAAAGGUUCUUGUAUGGAUGAAUUGACAACCAAAAAGAGUACAAAGCCCUCAGUAAGUGUGUAUUCAGAAGAAGUUUUGGAAAUAACUGAGAUAAUCAAGGGUGGUGGGGAGGAUUUGAGGCAACAGUUGAUUUGGGUGGCUUCUAAACUAUCAUUUAAGUGUGUCGUUGAGAUUUUUGACCUUUUGAAUGAACAAAGAAUAUCUGGAUUGAAGUUCUUUAAUUGGCUUCGGGACUCGCAUCCUGAAUUUCACCGUAGUGCUUUUGUCAAUAGUCUGAUUAUAUGUAAUUGUGGAUGGUUAGGUGACUAUAAAACUAUGUUCUCUUUGUUGGAGGAGUUUAAGGCUGAAAAAACUUGUUUAACUGACAAAGCUUUUGGGUUCUUAACUGUAUUUGGAUUGAGUAAGGAUUCAUUGAUGAAUUUGACAAAGAAAGUGGUUGAUAUGUUAAAUGAGGUUGGAGGAUCCUGCUGUGGUUCUGGUGUUUAUGGAUUAAUCAAGAUGUUUUGUUGUUUGGACUUGUUCGAAAUGGCAACAUUUGUAAUAGAGAUCACUGAAAGAACAGCUUCCCGCUACAAUAUUUUGAUCUGUAAAAGGUGUCGGGCAGGCCAAAUUGAUAAAGCACGAGCUAUUAUCAAAGAGAUGUCUGAAUUUGGUUGUUCUCCUAAUAUCAAGUCAUAUAACUACCUGCUUGGCUCAUUGUGUAAGAAUGAUAAGCUGGAAGAUGUGCAUAUUGUGCUCGAAGAAAUGAGAAAUAAGGGUCUCAAUCCAGAUGCAAUUACUUUUGAAACUUUAGUAUAUCAUUCUUCUAAUCGUGGUCAGGUUGACUUUGCCUCUAAAUUUUUGAAUUUGAUGUUAAAUAUGAAUGUGGAACCACGUUCUACUACUCAUGCUGCGUUUCUUAAAGUUUUGCUUGAAGCAGGAGAGCGUGAGAAAGCAUAUAAGUAUGUGAUUGACAUGAGUGCCAAGUAUAACCACUGUGGAAAUACACUAUACAGCUUGCUUGUGAGGCUUAAUCAGAAGAAAGGAGACAUUAUGGCUGCUCAAAACAUUCUCAAUGAAAUGAUUGGCAAGGGUCUCAAGCCGGACUUUGGAAUUUUCAUCAAAAUUGUAAAGCAGCUCGAGAAGACUAGCAGGAAAAGCUUAGCUCUAGAUCUUAGGAUGAAAUACUCAGUUUUCUAUUGUAGUACAAAAGCUAACAAUUCUUUAUCCAAUUCUUUUGUUCCAUGCCAAGGUUGAAUGCAUCUCUUCAGCACACAUUUGUUGGGUAUAAUAUCAACAUUAAAGUUGGAUACAAACUUCAUAUUUUGAUAGGAAUUAGAGAUACCUUGUGUCUCCUCACUAUUACCUUCCUCAGUUAACUACUGGAUUUAGGCUUCAUGGGACGUCGUGAAAAUUUCCUGUUACUGCAACAUUCAUAUAUUAAAUUUGAAGUACAUGAGGAAGCAUUGGGAGGUACUAGCUCAAUGUAAUCAACCUGUCAGGCAGGGGAAGUACCAUAUCAACGUAGCCUACCAGGCCUUAAAGAGGUGAAGUCACCAAUGUCCCUUGGAGGGGUUUAGUGUGUCACAAUGCCGCUAAUCCUAAGAGUGUGUUUAUACUAUGGAUAGCACUAUGGGGAUGGUUGAUAAUUCAGGAUCUGCUGAUGAGAUGGGGUAUACCUGUGGAUGGUAUGUGUGUCCUCUGUAGAACUUGUAUGGAACGCCAGAAUUACUUAUAUUCUUUGAUUGUUGUUUUUCUAAGACCUGCAAAAUGCCUUGCAGUGUCUACAAUGGAAUAAAACAGUUAUGGACUGGGAAAUGGAAUGACAAUGGAUACACAGGAAUACAAGGAGCAAGAAAGACUCAGAAUGUCCUACUCAAGGCUUUCCUUUGCACACUGUUUCUGACCUUUGGUUUGAAAGGAAUGCUCGACUCUAUCAGAAAAGAGCCAACAGAAUGGAGAACUUGCUGCAUGAGCUUAAAGCUACUGUCCAUAUUAGAAUCUGACAAAAUAGGAGACUUUUUAUCUUCCAAUUCGAUGAGUGAGAAGUCUAUUCUUCGCCAAUUCUUUGAAACUAGUUAGGAAAAUAAUGUAAGUUAUUUUCACUUUUGCAUCUUUACAUUGCAUCAUUAAUGUAAAUCUUGGGUAUAUGAUUAUAAUAUUCCUUGAUGCUCAAAUGAGAUCCUUUGGGGGAUUUUUUUUUAAUUAUUAUUAAAGGUCUCAUUUGAUCAUUGAUAUGCAAAAAAUUAUGAUUUGAGUUUGGCAUCCCAUACUUGGUACAUGAUUAUUGAGAUGAGAUUAACAAUCUAUUCCUAUGCAAAAGGUAACAACAGGUGAAGAGAUCAAGGAGGAUCAUAUAUGAUGUUGUCAAGUUUUGCCGGUUAAAUCCUAAAUGUUGGUAAGCUCCAUUUGUCCAUAUGGACCAGGCCCAUUAUGUUAAUGGGAAGUUCAGAGAGAAGAUUGAAGGUCUUGGCUCCUACAACUUUAUGACUUAGCGUUGCUAGACCGUCCGCUGGUCUAUUAGCUUCUCUGAAAUAAUGGUUAAUAUUGAAGUCAUGAUCUUCAAUCAUCUUCUGAAUCUCUUUUAUUUAGUUGUAGAUUUUCCGAGAUUUCCACUAUUUUUUGGAACACUUGGCUAAUAGCAGGAAUCGAUUUCAUCUAUAGCGAUAUCAAAACCUUUUGUCAGCACACCAUUUCAGUCCAAUAUGUUGCUAGUUCCCUUUCCUAGGGAUAUAGUGUAGGCAAAGAUGAAGUUCUCCUCUUGAUCUCUGAUGAUUCCCCCUCCUCCACACUGCUCCUCUAUCCAUCCAGCUACCAUCACUAUUGAGUUUGACUCUAAAAGGAGGAGGUUUGAUCCAUGCUACUGGAAUACUUGUAUUGUAUUGGACAACUGUAUCACAAGCUUGACAAAUACUGCUUCAUGUGUCUCUAAUUUUGAUUCUGUUAAAUAACCUGUCCUUUGAGGGAUUUGAUUUGGCUUGCAACAAAGUAAUAACUUACAUGGAUGGAUUGAAAAUUCCAUGAUUUGUUAAUUAUACGUUUUGACUUUUCAUUAUUUUUGUCUUAGUUGAAUCAAUUUUAUUA